AAUAACUAGCCGUCGCGUCGUUUCGUGAUUUAAACGACAGUGCAUCAAGCUGGAAGAAAAAAAAGGAAAAAACAACAGAUAGAUAUUCAACAGUUGUAUUUUCGUCGAUAAACCUCGAUCACUCGUACAUCACAACAUGCGUGUAUUGCUCAAGUGCACAAGGCUUUCGAGGUCGUCGAUAAUAACGAACACGAGUUGGAGGAGGGGGAGAAUUCCAGACUUAAGAGCGGACCCAACAACCCAACCGAAACCACAAGAGAAGUCGAACAACGGUGAGGGCACCCAACAACGGGACUCCCUAUGCCAAGACGUGUCGAGGUCAACCAUCUCUUCGAUUUUGUUCAUUACCCCUCGCAUGAAUAUGAAUUAUUGUUUAAAAAAAAUCAAUGAGUUACUCGUAUGAAACGAAAACAACAGAUUCCUAGACGAUUAAACGAUAUUUUCUGCUCGAGUGGAUGGAAAUUUUUGAGAGUUUGUUUACAGUUCAGAAAUGAAUGCUAGUGUUGGGUCACAGAGAAUAAAGAGAUCUCUAUUGUA
This is a long non-coding RNA of Diachasma alloeum, 537 nucleotides long. RefSeq lists it as uncharacterized. The transcript is spliced from 2 exons. Lineage: Eukaryota; Metazoa; Arthropoda; Insecta; Hymenoptera; Braconidae. The record is from RefSeq and is a predicted model, not a curated record.